Molecule: unclassified non-coding RNA, 1605 nt
Filed under: Hevea brasiliensis (rubber tree)
Lineage: Eukaryota; Viridiplantae; Streptophyta; Magnoliopsida; Malpighiales; Euphorbiaceae
Source: RNAcentral
CUUAAACCCUGUACGCAAACAACUGCAGCUUCAAGUCUUCAACUCGUCGCUGCGCUUCGCUUUCCUCUUCUCGUUUGGAGCUGCUCUUACAGUUCAGUUCUUUUGCUGUAUUUUGCACUCUUUGCCAUGUCUUUGCUCGAGGUGAUCACAAAUGCUGCAGCCAAUCCUGAACAAGUUGCAUCACAAUCUGAAUACCCAAUAAUUCUAAAUGCGGAUGAUAUUUUACUCAAUUUGAAGUCACAGCUUGAAAGUGUAGAUUCUACAUCACUUGCUAAUCCUGUUACCGGGUGGCAACUCUCACAAACUGAUGCUCAGCUCAUUGAAUCAGGCAAGAAAUUCUUUACUAAGCUCAAAAGAAAGCUCAAAGACACUAUUAAUUUCAAUAAAGAUGAAUUUGUUGAAAUUUUGAAUCUGUUUCUUGAGAAAAUUGGGGAGAAGUUUGGGAUUUCUGUUGGAGUUGAUUCUUCAGAUAAUGGCUAUACUCAGGUCUUGAUUGAAAAGGUGGGGUUUUUGAUGGGUAGAGAUGUGGCAGGAUUGGUUUUGGAAGCGUGUGUUAGGUUGGAGAUUUGGGAUUUGGUGGAGACUUUGAUUGUUAAAGGCAUUGUUGAUCAUUCAUAUUAUUCAAAUUUGGUAACAAGUCUUGUGGUAAAAAAGAGGUCUGAUUUGCUUUGUUUGAGUAUUAGACAUGCUCCGGAUCUUGGAUUGACCGAGUUGCUUUGCAUUUUGAAAUACUUUCUUUGUCCAUCAAAAGACGCCUAUAGUAGCAUGGUGAAUGUCAGGAAGGAGUGGGAGAGCCAGGCAUUGUUAGCUAUUGAGAAGGUGAAAGACAAGAAACUCUCAGACAAGAAAUCGCGCAUAGCUAAGGAGGCUUCAAUUCUGCUUAUGCUUGCCCAUGAUGGGUUCUCAACGUCUGAGCUUUGUUUGCAUUAUUUGCUGGCAUCAUCGAAUGUUGAUGAAGUUAUAUUAUCAUCUUCAAUAGGUAAAUUGAAUGGUAAAGAUAUGAUGAGUUUAAUUAGGUAUCUCGGGAAAUGGUUAAAAAAAUAUGAAAUGUUUCCUCAGGCAGGUCCAUGCCCUAAGGCAUCAUCUAUGCUGGGCUUGAAAGCUUGUGAUUGGGUUCCUAAACUUGAAGAUAUUGUCAGAUGUCUGGGGUUGGUGCUGGAUGAAAACUUCUCUUCCCUGGUGUUGCAUCCAGAGUUUCAUGAAGAGCUGAAAUCAAUCGAGGGAUUGGUUGGUUCUCUAGCUUUAGAAGCUAAAUUAUGUUGCUCUAUGGCAAACGUAAUUGAGAAUUUGAAAACUGAAGCUGAAGGUGAACAGAGUUAGGAGCAAUCACUAAUGGUUUUCUGAUCCAUAAUUUAUGUUCCAAUAUUUGGCUUAGUCUAUAAUCUUAGUUUAACGUCAUUUUUAUGUAAUUUUUAUUGUCAGAAUUUGCAUUAAUUAGCAUAUUUAGUGUAUUCAAAUGUGUCUACACAUGUACAAUUUUUUGUUAGCAUUGAAGAUUUUGAUAUAUUGGUUUCCAUAACCUGAGUUUUCUAAUCCUGUGUUGGGAAAAUUUUCUCCCUCCUCACAUUCUGAAAUCCCUUCAUAUGAAAUCUAAUCGAGUUUUCC